GAUCCUGGCUCAGGAUGAACGCUGGCGGCGUGCUUAACACAUGCAAGUCGAACGGACGAUGAAGAGCUUGCUCUUCAGAGUUAGUGGCGGACGGGUGAGUAACGCGUGGGUAACCUGCCUCAUACAGGGGGAUAGCAGCUGGAAACGGCUGAUAAAACCGCAUAAGCGCACAGCAUCGCAUGAUGCAGUGUGAAAAACCCCGGUGGUAUGAGAUGGACCCGCGU
This 224-nucleotide ribosomal RNA is filed under the name uncultured bacterium. Its description in RNAcentral is "partial 16S ribosomal RNA". It matches the Rfam family "Bacterial small subunit ribosomal RNA", at positions 15 to 236 of the family's 1533-position model. The record is from RNAcentral.